UGUGCAAUUGCUGGGUCAUAUUGUAAGAGUAUGUUUAAUUUUGUAAGAAACUGCCAAACUCCCUUCCACAGUGACUAUGCCGUUUUUCAUUCCCACCAGCAAU
RNAcentral lists this microRNA precursor (103 nucleotides) under Marmota monax (woodchuck). The record is from RNAcentral. Lineage: Eukaryota; Metazoa; Chordata; Mammalia; Rodentia; Sciuridae.